Peromyscus maniculatus bairdii (prairie deer mouse) is the source of this 665-nucleotide long non-coding RNA. RefSeq lists it as uncharacterized. The record is from RefSeq and is a predicted model, not a curated record. NCBI's taxonomy places the organism in Eukaryota, Metazoa, Chordata, Mammalia, Rodentia, Cricetidae.
AUUUCCGAUACAGGGACUCCGUCAAUAAGAUGCUGCCAUUGCCAAUUAGCCUCUUUGAAGUUAUCCAGAUGGACCAAAACCAGAGGAUUCGGUUCAGUGACAAGAGUGACCUAAAACGUUUAGCAAGGAUGUCAGAUAUUUUUCCCCUUUCAGCGGUGGCAUUUCUGCACUGUUUGGAAUCUCUGCAUUGCUAACCUGGGUGAAUGUCUUCCAUCGGCAGCCAGCUUGUAAUGGCUGCUCCUAGAUGAGAUCGAAUGAGAAUCAUCAUUGAAGUGCAGCAAGGUGGUAUAAGGAAGGGGCUGAGAAUUGUUGACCUCUGGUCCAGAGCCUUGGCCAUUCCAGUGUGUCCUGCUUGCCUGCCUGCCUGCCUGUGCCUGAGGGGAGAAAAUGGAACUGACAUCUCUCCUGAGGCCUCCCUGGUCAAAUGCAAUCACGUUGACUGAAAGCUCCCAUUGUGUUCAGUUCUCUAAACAACAAUCCCCCUACCCAGAGAGUGCACUUUGGCCAGAGGAAGAUGUGAUGAAGAGUCAUCUGUACCAGUGCUGACCAAUUUCAACAUCUCAUUUAAAACUGCAAGGAGUGGAGGAGGCGCUGCUGAGCACCAGAGCAUUGGAGCCCCCAGCACACUAAGUAGAAACAGCAAGUGAAACAUGUCUGUUCCUGGC